GACGAUUUUUUUUUUAUAGCUAAUGUAGUUUUUUUUUAGCGACGAAGCACUGAAUCGUCUUUGUAUACUUUUAGCGACCCACUUUUGGAGACGAUUAAUUGACAAAAAAAAUUUCGUCACGCUAAAUCUUUUGUGACAACAUAUGUCUUAUAAGUGACAAAAUCAUUCAUCCCUGAUAAUUAAAUUUGUUGUAGUGAGAAAUGACUAAGUCCUAACACUUAGUAAAAUAUUCUAAGUCCUGCACCCCUUUCUUCAUGCAAGAAUGAG
Molecule: long non-coding RNA, 267 nt
Filed under: Capsicum annuum
Lineage: Eukaryota; Viridiplantae; Streptophyta; Magnoliopsida; Solanales; Solanaceae
Description: long non-coding RNA (CANN_LNC020136)
Source: RNAcentral